RNAcentral lists this ribosomal RNA (301 nucleotides) under uncultured bacterium. RNAcentral describes it as "partial 16S ribosomal RNA". It matches the Rfam family "Bacterial small subunit ribosomal RNA", at positions 509 to 807 of the family's 1533-position model. The record is from RNAcentral.
CAGUAGCCGCGGUAAUACGAAGGGGGCUAGCGUUGCUCGGAAUCACUGGGCGUAAAGGGCGCGUAGGCGGCCGAUCAAGUCAGAGGUGAAAGCCCAAGGCUCAAUCUUGAAAUUGCCUUUGAUACUGUUCGGCUAGAAACCGGAAGAGGUUAGUGGAACUGCGAGUGUAGAGGUGAAAUUCGUAGACAUUCGCAAGAACACCAGUGGCGAAGGCGGCUAACUGGUCCGGUUCUGACGCUGAGGCGCGAAAGCGUGGGGAGCAAACAGGAUUAGAUACCCGAGUAGUCCCUGUCUCUUAUAC